AUUGAACGCUGGCGGUAGGCCUAACACAUGCAAGUCGAACGCGAAAGUCCUUCGGGAUGAGUAGAGUGGCGGACGGGUGAGUAACGCGUAGGAAUCUGUCCUGUAGUGGGGGAUAACGUUUCGAAAGGAACGCUAAUACCGCAUACGCCCUACGGGGAAAGCGGGGAGUCUUCGGACCUCGUGCUAUAGGAGGAGCCUGCGUCGGAUUAGCUAGUUGGUGAGGUAAAGGCUCACCAAGGCGACGAUCCGUAGCUGGUCUGAGAGGAUGAUCAGCCACACCGGAACUGAGACACGGUCCGGACUCCUACGGGAGGCAGCAGUGGGGAAUAUUGCGCAAUGGGCGAAAGCCUGA
This 352-nucleotide ribosomal RNA is filed under the name uncultured bacterium. RNAcentral describes it as "bacterial SSU rRNA". It matches the Rfam family "Bacterial small subunit ribosomal RNA", at positions 30 to 386 of the family's 1533-position model. The record is from RNAcentral.